Molecule: transfer RNA, 77 nt
Filed under: Gammaproteobacteria bacterium
Lineage: Bacteria; Pseudomonadati; Pseudomonadota; Gammaproteobacteria
Description: tRNA-Met
Rfam family: tRNA
About the family: Transfer RNA (tRNA) molecules are approximately 80 nucleotides in length. Their secondary structure includes four short double-helical elements and three loops (D, anti-codon, and T loops). Further hydrogen bonds mediate the characteristic L-shaped molecular structure. tRNAs have two regions of fundamental functional importance: the anti-codon, which is responsible for specific mRNA codon recognition, and the 3' end, to which the tRNAs corresponding amino acid is attached (by aminoacyl-tRNA synthetases). tRNAs cope with the degeneracy of the genetic code in two manners: having more than one tRNA (with a specific anti-codon) for a particular amino acid; and 'wobble' base-pairing, i.e. permitting non-standard base-pairing at the 3rd anti-codon position.
Source: RNAcentral
GGCUACGUAGCUCAGCCGGUUAGAGCACGGCACUCAUAACGCCGGGGUCGGUGGUUCAAGUCCACCCGUAGCCACCA